This 512-nucleotide ribosomal RNA is filed under the name uncultured bacterium. RNAcentral describes it as "partial 16S ribosomal RNA". It matches the Rfam family "Bacterial small subunit ribosomal RNA", at positions 28 to 523 of the family's 1533-position model. The record is from RNAcentral.
GAUGAACGCUGGCGGCGUGCCUAAUACAUGCAAGUCGAGCGAAUGAAGAGGAGCUUGCUCCUCUGAUUUAGCGGCGGACGGGUGAGUAACACGUGGGUAAUCUGCCUGUAAGACGGGGAUAACUCCGGGAAACCGGGGCUAACACCGGAUAAUAAGAAGCAACGCAUGUUUCUUUUUUGAAAGUCGGUUUCGGCUGACACUUACAGAUGAGCCCGCGGCGCAUUAGCUAGUUGGUGAGGUAACGGCUCACCAAGGCGACGAUGCGUAGCCGACCUGAGAGGGUGAGCGGCCACACUGGGACUGAGACACGGCCCAGACUCCUACGGGAGGCAGCAGUAGGGAAUCUUCGGCAAUGGGCGAAAGCCUGACCGAGCAACGCCGCGUGAGCGAUGAAGGCCUUCGGGUCGUAAAGCUCUGUUGUUAGAGAAGAACAAGUACGAGAGUAACUGCUCGUACCUUGACGGUACCUAACCAGAAAGCCACGGCUAACUACGUGCCAGCCGCCGCGGUAA